GAUGAACGCUGGCGGCGUGCCUAAUACAUGCAAGUCGAGCGAACAGACGAGGAGCUUGCUCCUCUGACGUUAGCGGCGGACGGGUGAGUAACACGUGGAUAACCUACCUAUAAGACUGGGAUAACUUCGGGAAACCGGAGCUAAUACCGGAUAAUAUAUUGAACCGCAUGGUUCAAUAGUGAAAGACGGUUUUGCUGUCACUUAUAGAUGGAUCCGCGCCGCAUUAGCUAGUUGGUAAGGUAACGGCUUACCAAGGCAACGAUGCGUAGCCGACCUGAGAGGGUGAUCGGCCACAUUGGAACUGAGACACGGUCCAGACUCCUACGGGAGGCAGCAGCAGGGAAUCUUCCGCAAUGGGCGAAAGCCUGACGGAGCAACGCCGCGUGAGUGAUGAAGGUCUUCGGAUCGUAAAACUCUGUUAUUAGGGAAGAACAAAUGUGUAAGUAACUAUGCACGUCUUGACGGUACCUAAUCAGAAAGCCACGGCUAACUACGUG
This 497-nucleotide ribosomal RNA is filed under the name uncultured bacterium. RNAcentral's name for it is "partial 16S ribosomal RNA". It matches the Rfam family "Bacterial small subunit ribosomal RNA", at positions 28 to 507 of the family's 1533-position model. The record is from RNAcentral.